RNAcentral lists this transfer RNA (63 nucleotides) under Ruidocollaris convexipennis. RNAcentral's name for it is "tRNA-Thr". Lineage: Eukaryota; Metazoa; Arthropoda; Insecta; Orthoptera; Tettigoniidae. The record is from RNAcentral.
GUUUUAAUAGUUUUAUAAAAAUAUAGGUCUUGUAAACCUAAGAUAAGUUUCACUUUUAAAACU